RNAcentral lists this ribosomal RNA (740 nucleotides) under Bacillus sp. SKS52. RNAcentral's name for it is "bacterial SSU rRNA". It matches the Rfam family "Bacterial small subunit ribosomal RNA", at positions 613 to 1352 of the family's 1533-position model. The record is from RNAcentral. Lineage: Bacteria; Bacillati; Bacillota; Bacilli; Caryophanales; Bacillaceae.
CCGGGGAGGGUCAUUGGAAACUGGGGAACUUGAGUGCAGAAGAGGAGAGUGGAAUUCCACGUGUAGCGGUGAAAUGCGAUAGAGAUGUGGAGGAACACCAGUGGCGAAGGCGACUCUCUGGUCUGUAACUGACGCUGAGGAGCGAAAGCGUGGGGAGCGAACAGGAUUAGAUACCCUGGUAGUCCACGCCGUAAACGAUGAGUGCUAAGUGUUAGGGGGUUUCCGCCCCUUAGUGCUGCAGCUAACGCAUUAAGCACUCCGCCUGGGGAGUACGGUCGCAAGACUGAAACUCAAAGGAAUUGACGGGGGCCCGCACAAGCGGUGGAGCAUGUGGUUUAAUUCGAAGCAACGCGAAGAACCUUACCAGGUCUUGACAUCCUCUGACAAUCCUAGAGAUAGGACGUCCCCUUCGGGGGCAGAGUGACAGGUGGUGCAUGGUUGUCGUCAGCUCGUGUCGUGAGAUGUUGGGUUAAGUCCCGCAACGAGCGCAACCCUUGAUCUUAGUUGCCAGCAUUCAGUUGGGCACUCUAAGGUGACUGCCGGUGACAAACCGGAGGAAGGUGGGGAUGACGUCAAAUCAUCAUGCCCCUUAUGACCUGGGCUACACACGUGCUACAAUGGACAGAACAAAGGGCAGCGAAACCGCGAGGUUAAGCCAAUCCCACAAAUCUGUUCUCAGUUCGGAUCGCAGUCUGCAACUCGACUGCGUGAAGCUGGAAUCGCUAGUAAUCGCGGAUCAG